Non-coding RNA from Pelobates cultripes (western spadefoot toad), 91 nucleotides. The record is from the annotation of a GenBank genome assembly. NCBI's taxonomy places the organism in Eukaryota, Metazoa, Chordata, Amphibia, Anura, Pelobatidae.
GACGUUUCAGCUCCUCUCAGGGAGCUUUCAACAGGACAAAGACAUUGAUGUCUUUGUCCUGAUGAAAGCUCCCUGAGAGGAGCUGAAACGU